GUAGGCGGAUUGGCAAGUUGGGAGUGAAAUGUCGGGGCUUAACCCCGGAACUGCUUCCAAAACUGUUGAUCUUGAGUGAUGGAGAGGCAGGCGGAAUUCCCAGUGUAGCGGUGAAAUGCGUAGAUAUUGGGAGGAACACCAGUGGCGAAGGCGGCCUGCUGGACAUUAACUGACGCUGAGGAGCGAAAGCGUGGGGAGCAAACAGGAUUAGAUACCCUGGUAGUCCACGCCGUAAACGAUGGAUACUAGGUGUGGGAGGUAUUGACCCCUUCCGUGCCGCAGUUAACACAUUAAGUAUCCCACCUGGGGAGUACGACCGCAAGGUUGAAACUCAAAGGAAUUGACGGGGGCCCGCACAAGCAGUGGAGUAUGUGGUUUAAUUCGAAGCAACGCGAAGAACCUUACCUGGUCUUGACAUCCCGAUGACCGGUCUAGAGAUAGACUUUUCUCUUCGGAGACAUCGGUGACAGGUGGUGCAUGGUUGUCGUCAGCUCGUGUCGUGAGAUGUUGGGUUAAGUCCCGCAACGAGCGCAACCCUUAUUGUUAGUUGAUACAUUUAGUUGAUCACUCUAGCGAGACUGCCGUUGACAAAACGGAGGAAGGUGGGGACGACGUCAAAUCAUCAUGCCCCUUAUGACCAGGGCUACACACGUACUACAAUGGCAGUCAUACAGAGGGAAGCAAAGCUGUGAAGCAGAGCAAAUCCCUAAAAGCUGUCCCAGUUCAGAUUGCAGGCUGCAACUCGCCUGCAUGAAGUCGGAAUUGCUAGUA
This 771-nucleotide ribosomal RNA is filed under the name uncultured Bacillota bacterium. Its description in RNAcentral is "bacterial SSU rRNA". It matches the Rfam family "Bacterial small subunit ribosomal RNA", at positions 571 to 1340 of the family's 1533-position model. Lineage: Bacteria; Bacillati; Bacillota. The record is from RNAcentral.